AAGAGACAGCAGUAGCCACGGUAAUACGGAGGGGGCUAGCGCUGCUCGGAAUGACUGGGCGUAAAGGGCGCGUAGGCGGCGAUCAAAGUCAGGCGUGAAAUUCCUGGGCUCAACCUGGGGGCUGCGUUUGAUACUUGAUUGCUAGAGUGGGGAAGAGGGUCGUGGAAUUCCCAGUGUAGAGGUGAAAUUCGUAGAUAUUGGGAAGAACACCGGUGGCGAAGGCGGCGACCUGGUCCUUGACUGACGCUGAGGCGCGAAAGCGUGGGGAGCAAACAGGAUUAGAUACCCCCGUAGUCCCUGUCUCUUAUAA
RNAcentral lists this ribosomal RNA (310 nucleotides) under uncultured bacterium. Its description in RNAcentral is "partial 16S ribosomal RNA". It matches the Rfam family "Bacterial small subunit ribosomal RNA", at positions 503 to 809 of the family's 1533-position model. The record is from RNAcentral.